GUUACUUUCUCAUAGUACUUAGAUUAUUUACACAGUCAAGAAUAUCGGGUGAAUAUGGGAAUUGGCAACACUUAUUGGAUUAGCCAGAUGCGUUAUUAAUAAGACCAGUGGACAGCUAUGUAUGUAGCAAUGUGUGAUUUAUUGAAAUUUUUUAAUAGCAGAGCCCUUACAAUACACAGAUUAAACUCUAUUUUAAUUUUAUUUUUAUACCUUAUGAUAUGAUUUACGUUUUAAACAGAGGCACAGAGUACCCUAAGUGAACGCAGUGUACUGCCAGUAUUGGGCAGACACAGUGAAUGUUUUAUUUUUCUUUGCUUGUAUUAUCAAUAACAAUAUCAAAAUAUUAAACAUA
Bombus terrestris (buff-tailed bumblebee) is the source of this 352-nucleotide long non-coding RNA. RefSeq lists it as uncharacterized. NCBI's taxonomy places the organism in Eukaryota, Metazoa, Arthropoda, Insecta, Hymenoptera, Apidae. The record is from RefSeq and is a predicted model, not a curated record. The transcript is spliced from 2 exons.